This 253-nucleotide ribosomal RNA is filed under the name uncultured bacterium. RNAcentral's name for it is "partial 16S ribosomal RNA". It matches the Rfam family "Bacterial small subunit ribosomal RNA", at positions 524 to 776 of the family's 1533-position model. The record is from RNAcentral.
UACGUAGGGUGCAAGCGUUGUCCGGAAUUAUUGGGCGUAAAGAGCUCGUAGGCGGUUUGUCGCGUCGGCUGUGAAAACCUGUGGCUCAACUGCAGGCUUGCGGUCGAUACGGGCAGGCUGGAGUUCGGUAGGGGAGACUGGAAUUCCUGGUGUAGCGGUGAAAUGCGCAGAUAUCAGGAGGAACACCGGUGGCGAAGGCGGGUCUCUGGGCCGAUACUGACGCUGAGGAGCGAAAGCGUGGGGAGCGAACAGG